CCUACGGGUGGCAGCAGUGAGGAAUAUUGGUCAAUGGGCUUACGCCUGAACCAGCCAAGUCGCGUGAGGGAAGAAUGCCUUUUGGGUUGUAAACCUCUUUUGUCAGGGAGCAACGCCGUCUCCGUGUAGCCGGACUGAGAGUACCUGAAGAAAAAGAAUCGGCUAACUACGUGCCAGCAGCCGCGGUAAUACGGAGGAUGCGAGCGUUAUCCGGAUUUAUUGGGUUUAAAGGGUGCGUAGGCGGAAUGCCAAGUAAGCGGUAAAAGCGCGGGGCUCAACGUAGCUCCGCCGUUGAAACUGGCGGUCUUGAGUGGGGGAGAAGUGUGCGGAAUGCGUGGUGUAGCGGUGAAAUGCAUAGAUAUCACGCAGAACUCCGAUUGCGAAGGCAGCAUACCGGCGCCCAACUGACGCUGAAGCACGAAAGCGUGGGUAUCGAACAGGAUUAGAUACCCCUGUAGUC
Molecule: ribosomal RNA, 460 nt
Filed under: uncultured bacterium
Lineage: Bacteria
Description: partial 16S ribosomal RNA
Rfam family: Bacterial small subunit ribosomal RNA
Source: RNAcentral